GUUUUAAAUUUUAAACGUGUUUCCACGCUUUGAUUACAUUCAAUAGACAUACAUUGGUUUGUGUGAUACAUAGGAAGGGCCCGAAGACCCAACCUACAAAAGGUGCACAGGUGGUUGGUUUGGUUUGAGGGCGUGCACAUGCCUUUCGGCCAGCUACAACCCAGUUUAUUCAUUAAUGAUCCUUCCGCAGGUUCACCUACGGAAA
This 205-nucleotide unclassified non-coding RNA is filed under the name uncultured fungus. Its description in RNAcentral is "sequence contains ITS1". The record is from RNAcentral. Lineage: Eukaryota; Fungi.